This 426-nucleotide ribosomal RNA is filed under the name uncultured soil bacterium. RNAcentral's name for it is "bacterial SSU rRNA". It matches the Rfam family "Bacterial small subunit ribosomal RNA", at positions 26 to 461 of the family's 1533-position model. The record is from RNAcentral.
AGAUUGAACGCUGGCGGAAUGCUUUACACAUGCAAGUCGAGCGGCAGCGCGGGGCAACCUGGCGGCGAGCGGCGAACGGGUGAGUAAUGCAUCGGAACAUGUCCAUGUCGUGGGGGGAUAGCCCGGCGAAAGCCGGAUUAAUACCGCAUACGCCCGAGAGGGGAAAGUGGGGGACCGCAAGGCCUCACGCGAUUGGGUUGGCCGAUGUCCGAUUAGCUAGUUGGCGGGGUAAAGCCCACCAAGGCGAUGAUCGGUAGCUGGUCUGAGAGGAUGGAUCAGCCACACUGGGACUGAGACACGGCCCAGACUCCUACGGGAGCAGCAGUGGGAAUUUGGACAAGUGGGGAACCUGACUCCAGCCAUUCCGCGUGAGUGAAGAGGCUUCGGGUUGUAAGUCUCUUUGUCCGGAACGAACGGUGAGCGUAG